UGAGUAACCUGCCCUUAACUCUGGGAUAAGCCUGGGAAACUGGGUCUAAUACCGGAUAUGACUCCUCAUCGCAUGGGUGGGGGGUGGAAAGCUUUUUGUGGUUUUGGAUGGACUCGCGGCCUAUCAGCUUGUUGGUGAGGUAAUGGCUCACCAAGGCGACGAUGCGUAGCCGACCUGAGAGGGUGAUCGGCCACAUUGGAACUGAGACACGGUCCAGACCUCCGUACGGGGAGGNAG
This 237-nucleotide ribosomal RNA is filed under the name uncultured bacterium. Its description in RNAcentral is "partial 16S ribosomal RNA". It matches the Rfam family "Bacterial small subunit ribosomal RNA", at positions 118 to 351 of the family's 1533-position model. The record is from RNAcentral.